AGUGCCCUUUCUCAUCCCAUAUCACUUAUCAUGAUGAAUUAUACAGGGAGGAGCUACUCAUGUAGCUAUAACUUGUAACCGAUAACUAGUGAAGCUUCCGUUGUGGAGAUAAUGGUCGGAUCGGAGGAUGGAAGUGGAAGGAAUGUUUAGAAGGGAAAGACUUAUGCUAUUAUUUCAAAGGCAGUGAGCUCAGCAAAUCAGGUUUAUUUAUACUAGUUGUAUUCAAUAGUAUCAAUAUAUUUCAUCUAGUUUUAAUUAGACAGUUGGAUUUUUGCAAACAUCUUUUCAUUAUUGGCUAGAAAGGUGUAGCUCGAGAAUUGCUGAACGCCACCGAAAUAGACUUUGAAAACAACCCUUAUGCUUGGACUAAAGAAAUUUGAGCAGAAAAUGGUAUGUUUCAAAUACUCGAAAACUAUAAAAAGAAAAUGAAUGAAGAAGAACGAAGAAGUAAAAAUAAUUCUCUGUUCAGUUUUGAGUGACAGCUCCUUUAGGUAAGUUUUUGUUCUUACAUAUUUAUGUUAUUAUGAUUUGUUUGCAUAUUAUGAAUAUAUUUGUUUGUGAUUUUGUAGGUAUCUAUGAAGACGCUCAAAUUGUUAAUGUGAUUUUGUAGAUUUUGGUGAUGUAUUACAUCU
This is a long non-coding RNA of Mercurialis annua (annual mercury), 632 nucleotides long. RefSeq lists it as uncharacterized. The record is from RefSeq and is a predicted model, not a curated record. Lineage: Eukaryota; Viridiplantae; Streptophyta; Magnoliopsida; Malpighiales; Euphorbiaceae. The transcript is spliced from 3 exons.